GGUAGAAUGGCUGAGAAAAUAGGCGAUAAAUUGUAAAUUUAUUUAGGAGAAAAAAUCUCUUCUAUCA
Molecule: transfer RNA, 67 nt
Filed under: Mecopoda niponensis
Lineage: Eukaryota; Metazoa; Arthropoda; Insecta; Orthoptera; Tettigoniidae
Description: tRNA-Tyr
Source: RNAcentral